ACCGUUAUGUUGAGAGCGUAUUGCAGCAGAGUGAAGGGUGCGUUUUGUUCAGCUUGCGCUUGCGUAGGUGUACUCGAAACGUUAUCCGCCAGUCGUGAGCUUUUGGUGGCUUAUUUAUAGUCUCUAGAGGUGGAGGGCUCCCCUUUAUGGGUGAGGACGAAUCUGGAUAAUGCUGUGAUUCGACCCGUCUUGAAACACGGACCAAGAAGUCUAGCGUGCAUGCGAGUCAAAGGGUGAAAAAACCUGAGGGCGCAGUGAAAGCAAUUUUAAAACGAUAGCAGUUUGAGGCGGCAUACGAUCCUUGAUUGUAGGUCUGACCUAGAGCAUGUAUGCUAGGACCCGAAAGAUGGUGAACUAUGCUUGAGUAGGGUGAAGCCAGGAGAAAUCCUGGUGGAAGCUCGUAGCGGUGCUGACGUGCAAAUCGCUCGUCUAACUUGAGUAUAGGGGCGAAAGACUAAUCGAACCAUCUGGUAGCUGGUUUCCUCCGAAGUUUCUCUCAGGAUAGCGGACUGAUAUAAUGUUGUUGUGUGCGGUAAAGCGAAUGAUUAGCGUAUUUGGGGGAAUUUAUUCCUUCGGGCGAUUCUCAAACUUUAAAUGCGUACGGAUGUUGCUGCUUAAUUGAGCGACUGUCGUGAAAAACAUCGGUUUCGUGGGCCAAUUUUGGUAAGCAGAACUGGCGAUAUGGGAUGAACCAUAAGCGUAGUUA
Molecule: ribosomal RNA, 706 nt
Filed under: Brongniartella sp. LLG-2014
Lineage: Eukaryota; Rhodophyta; Florideophyceae; Ceramiales; Rhodomelaceae
Description: eukaryotic LSU rRNA
Rfam family: Eukaryotic large subunit ribosomal RNA
Source: RNAcentral